AUACGGAGGAUGCAAGCGUUAUCCGGAAUGAUUGGGCGUAAAGCGUCCGUAGGUGGUGAUGUGUGUCUAUUGUCAAAGGCUCUGGCUUAACCAGAGACAGGCAGUAGAAACUGCAGAACUAGAGUGCAUUCGGGGCAGGGGGAAUUCCUGGUGUAGCGGUGAAAUGCGUAGAGUUCAGGAAGAACACCGGUGGCGAAAGCGCCCUGCUAGGCUGUCACUGACACUGAGGGACGAAAGCUAGGGGAGCGAAUGGGAUUAGAUACCCCAGUAGUCCUAGCCGUAAACGAUGGAUACUAGGCGUUGCGUGUAUCGACCCAUGCAGUGCCGUAGCUAACGCGUUAAGUAUCCCGCCUGGGGAGUACGCACGCAAGUGUGAA
RNAcentral lists this ribosomal RNA (377 nucleotides) under uncultured bacterium. RNAcentral's name for it is "bacterial SSU rRNA". It matches the Rfam family "Bacterial small subunit ribosomal RNA", at positions 523 to 898 of the family's 1533-position model. The record is from RNAcentral.